Molecule: ribosomal RNA, 253 nt
Filed under: uncultured bacterium
Lineage: Bacteria
Description: partial 16S ribosomal RNA
Rfam family: Bacterial small subunit ribosomal RNA
Source: RNAcentral
UACAGAGGGUGCAAGCGUUAAUCGGAAUUACUGGGCGUAAAGCGUGCGCAGGCGGUUUUGUAAGUCUGUCGUGAAAUCCCCGGGCUCAACCUGGGAAUUGCGAUGGAGACUGCAAGGCUAGAAUCUGGCAGAGGGGGUAGAAUUCCACGUGUAGCAGUGAAAUGCGUAGAGAUGUGGAGGAACACCGAUGGCGAAGGCAGCCCCCUGGGUCAAGAUUGACGCUCAUGCACGAAAGCGUGGGGAGCCAAACAGG